AACGAACGCUGGCGGCAUGCCUAACACAUGCAAGUCGAACGAGACCUGCGGGUUUGGUGGCGCACGGGUCCGUAACGGGGGGGAACCUGCCUAUAGGUCCGGAAUAAAUCCCGGAAAGGGGUGCUAAUACCGGCGAAUGUCUUCGGACCAAAGUUUUAUCGCCUUUGGAUGGGCCGGGGUUGGCUUGGUUAGUUGGUAGGGUAAAAGCCUCUCAAGGCUACGACACUUAGCUGGUAUGAGAGGAUGAGCAGCCACACUGGUACUGAGAAACGGCCCAGAAUACUACGGGAGGGAGCAGUGGGGAAUAUUGGAAAGUGGGGGAAAGGCUGAUCCAGCAAUGACGGGUGAGUGAUGAAGGCCUUAGGGUUGUAAAGCUCUUUUACCCGGGAUGAUAAUGACAGUACCGGGAGAAUAAGCUCCGGCUAACUCCGUG
RNAcentral lists this ribosomal RNA (433 nucleotides) under uncultured bacterium. Its description in RNAcentral is "partial 16S ribosomal RNA". It matches the Rfam family "Bacterial small subunit ribosomal RNA", at positions 29 to 507 of the family's 1533-position model. The record is from RNAcentral.